UACGUAGGGCGCAAGCGUUGUCCGGAAUUAUUGGGCGUAAAGAGCUCGUAGGCGGCCAGUUGCGUCUGCUGUGAAAUCCCGGGGCUCAACCCCGGGCGUGCAGUGGAUACGGGCUGGCUAGAGGCAGGCAGGGGAGAACGGAAUUCCCGGUGUAGCGGUGAAAUGCGCAGAUAUCGGGAGGAACACCGGUGGCGAAGGCGGUUCUCUGGGCCUGUACUGACGCUGAGGAGCGAAAGCGUGGGGAGCGAAC
This 250-nucleotide ribosomal RNA is filed under the name uncultured bacterium. Its description in RNAcentral is "partial 16S ribosomal RNA". It matches the Rfam family "Bacterial small subunit ribosomal RNA", at positions 524 to 773 of the family's 1533-position model. The record is from RNAcentral.